This 603-nucleotide long non-coding RNA is filed under the name Homo sapiens (human). Its description in RNAcentral is "HSALNT0391873". The record is from RNAcentral. Lineage: Eukaryota; Metazoa; Chordata; Mammalia; Primates; Hominidae.
UCAGUGCCCGGCCAGAGGUUCACGAUAUCUAUGGAAAGCAGGUUGCAAUGGCUCGGGCGGGAGAGUGUAAUUGAUGGACAAACUCAAGCACUCAAAGGCCACCCAUUUGCUUCCCACCUCAAACCUCUUAGCCAGUGAUACAGAGAGAAGAAGAGGAGGAAGAGACACCUCAGGGAGAGGGACACUGUGUCGGUUUCCUGUGGCUGCUGUAACAAAUUCGCACAGACUGAGAGCCUUCGAACAGCAGGCAUGGAUCCUCUCACGGCUCUGGAGGCCAGAAGCCCAGGAUCAAGGUGUCAGCGAGGAUGCCAGCCUUUGGACUGAAGUCCCACCCUAUGACCUCGCCUUAAUUUGAUUACGUCUGCAAAGAUGCUAUUCCAGAAUAAGGUCACAUUUACAGUUGCUGGGGGUAUGAUCGCUUGGAGAACACAGUUCAAACCCCUGCAGACACAAAUUCAUGCCUGCCCACCAGCUCGAGCCCCAGACACUGCUUUCAGGGGAGCCCAUGCCAAGGCAGCAGGUGAUCCUCCUGCCCCGGCCCCCCAAAGUGUUGGGAUUACAGGCAUGAGCCGUCGUGCCUGGCCUUGAUCCCUGUUUUCUGAU